GCCGAGAUAGCUCAGUCGGUAGAGCAGCUGAUUCGUAAUCAGCAGGUCGUGGGUUCAAGUCCCAUUCUCGGCU
RNAcentral lists this transfer RNA (73 nucleotides) under Pseudomonadota bacterium. RNAcentral describes it as "tRNA-Thr". It matches the Rfam family "tRNA". From Rfam's summary of the family: Transfer RNA (tRNA) molecules are approximately 80 nucleotides in length. Their secondary structure includes four short double-helical elements and three loops (D, anti-codon, and T loops). RNAcentral also lists the same sequence under 1 other name. The record is from RNAcentral. Lineage: Bacteria; Pseudomonadati; Pseudomonadota.